This 276-nucleotide ribosomal RNA is filed under the name uncultured bacterium. RNAcentral's name for it is "partial 16S ribosomal RNA". It matches the Rfam family "Bacterial small subunit ribosomal RNA", at positions 1105 to 1382 of the family's 1533-position model. The record is from RNAcentral.
CUGUCCUUAGUUCCCAUCAUUCAGUUGGGCACUCUAGGGAGACAAACCCUCUUUGGGGGUGGGAAGGUGGGGAUGACGUCAAGUCAGGAUGGCCCUUACGGCCAGGGCUGCACACGUACUACAAUGCCCGGUACAGAGGGAAGCAAUACCGCGAGGUGGAGCAAAUCCUCAAAACCGGGCCCAGUUCAGAUUGAAGUCUGCAACUCGACUACAUGAAGUUGGAAUCGCUAGUAAUGGCGCAUCAGCUACGGCGCCGUGAAUACGUUCCCGGGCCUU